Podarcis lilfordi (Lilford's wall lizard) is the source of this 68-nucleotide non-coding RNA. Lineage: Eukaryota; Metazoa; Chordata; Lepidosauria; Squamata; Lacertidae. The record is from the annotation of a GenBank genome assembly.
GGGUAGCUCAGUUGGUACAGAUGAGACUCUUAACCUCAGGGUUGUGGGUUCAAGCCCCACAUGAGACA